UCGACAAGUUUUAUCUUCGUAAUGAGCAUCAACUAAUGAUCUCGUCUGCUCUCCAAUUAUGAUGAAUAAAAAAUCUGCUUAUCUUUUAGGAAUAAAGGGUUGUGCCUGCCCCAGCAACUGUCAGUCACAGGCAGCGCAGCGUUGGGUCAAGCCGCAGCAGUCAGGAUGGCCGAUCUCAGGAUCCUCCUCCUGGUCAGCCUGCUCUCUCUGCCCCGGGUCAAGGCGAGGGACCCUGUUUGGACGAGCUCUACGUUGAAGGAUGCCCAAGUUAUCUAUUCCAAGCAAUCGGUUUAUAUUUGGACACGAACCGAACCGUAUUCAUAGAACCGAGGGAAAUCUCCGAAAUAAUUAUAAGGAGCGGGGGAUAUCAGCCAGUCAACAUCACGACGCGGCACCAGAUCCGCCUGUGGGGGAACGGGUCCGAGGUCUGUGUUGAUGGCCCCGGACUUCAAACAAAAAAAGGAUCUUCAAUAAUUAUCUUGAGAUAGAGUCAAGCAAUCCUCUUUGGUUUACACUCGACUGCAUCAAUGCUUCCCACAGCUGCCGCUUCCACCGUCUCAUUAAAGUGGUUUUCGUUCCCGGCGAGAAUGGCCUGGUGACCUGGAGGCCGGAGGGCCAAGCCUUUAAGUUAGAAGCCGGAGUUCGGGGUCAUGGACGAGUCGACUACAUAGAACCAGG
Molecule: non-coding RNA, 678 nt
Organism: Penaeus vannamei (Pacific white shrimp)
Lineage: Eukaryota; Metazoa; Arthropoda; Malacostraca; Decapoda; Penaeidae
Source: RefSeq, a predicted model, not a curated record